GGCUCAGAGCGAACGCUGGCGGCAGGCUUAACACAUGCAAGUCGAGCGGGCGUAGCAAUACGUCAGCGGCAGACGGGUGAGUAACGCGUGGGAACGUACCUUUUGGUUCGGAACAACACAGGGAAACUUGUGCUAAUACCGGAUAAGCCCUUACGGGGAAAGAUUUAUCGCCGAAAGAUCGGCCCGCGUYUGAUUAGCUAGUUGGUGAGGUAAUGGCUCACCAAGGCGACGAUCAGUAGCUGGUYUGAGAGGAUGAUCAGCCACAUUGGGACUGAGACACGGCCCAAACUCCUACGGGAGGCAGCAGUGGGGAAUAUUGGACAAUGGGGGCAACCCUGAUCCAGCCAUGCCGCGUGAGUGAUGAAGGCCCUAGGGUUGUAAAGCUCUUUUGUGCGGGAAGAUAAUGA
RNAcentral lists this ribosomal RNA (407 nucleotides) under Bradyrhizobium sp. R-37819. RNAcentral describes it as "bacterial SSU rRNA". It matches the Rfam family "Bacterial small subunit ribosomal RNA", at positions 21 to 454 of the family's 1533-position model. Lineage: Bacteria; Pseudomonadati; Pseudomonadota; Alphaproteobacteria; Hyphomicrobiales; Nitrobacteraceae. The record is from RNAcentral.